RNAcentral lists this ribosomal RNA (465 nucleotides) under uncultured Klebsiella sp. Its description in RNAcentral is "bacterial SSU rRNA". It matches the Rfam family "Bacterial small subunit ribosomal RNA", at positions 338 to 795 of the family's 1533-position model. Lineage: Bacteria; Pseudomonadati; Pseudomonadota; Gammaproteobacteria; Enterobacterales; Enterobacteriaceae. The record is from RNAcentral.
CCUACGGGGGGCAGCAGUGGGGAAUAUUGCACAAUGGGCGCAAGCCUGAUGCAGCCAUGCCGCGUGUGUGAAGAAGGCCUUCGGGUUGUAAAGCACUUUCAGCGGGGAGGAAGGCGGUGAGGUUAAUAACCUCAUCGAUUGACGUUACCCGCAGAAGAAGCACCGGCUAACUCCGUGCCAGCAACCGCGGUAAUACGGAGGGUGCAAGCGUUAAUCGGAAUUACUGGGCGUAAAGCGCACGCAGGCGGUCUGUCAAGUCGGAUGUGAAAUCCCCGGGCUCAACCUGGGAACUGCAUUCGAAACUGGCAGGCUAGAGUCUUGUAGAGGGGGGUAGAAUUCCAGGUGUAGCGGUGAAAUGCGUAGAGAUCUGGAGGAAUACCGGUGGCGAAGGCGGCCCCCUGGACAAAGACUGACGCUCAGGUGCGAAAGCGUGGGGAGCAAACAGGAUUAGAUACCCCUGUAGUC